CGCGGGAUGGAGCAGUCUGGUAGCUCGUCGGGCUCAUAACCCGGAGGUCGUUGGUUCAAAUCCAGCUCCCGCAACCA
Molecule: transfer RNA, 77 nt
Filed under: Clostridium cochlearium
Lineage: Bacteria; Bacillati; Bacillota; Clostridia; Eubacteriales; Clostridiaceae
Also listed under: 2 other names
Description: tRNA-Met
Rfam family: tRNA
About the family: Transfer RNA (tRNA) molecules are approximately 80 nucleotides in length. Their secondary structure includes four short double-helical elements and three loops (D, anti-codon, and T loops).
Source: RNAcentral